AGUGAACGCUGGCGGCGUGCCUAACACAUGCAAGUCGAACGGUGCGGCGCACGGGCGGGUAAGGUAUAGCUAAUAUGCCCUACACUGGAGGGAAACCGUUGGAAACGACUGCUAAUAUUCUAUAUGGUAGGAUGAGGCUAUAUUGUCUCAGCUAGUUGGUGAGGUAUUGGCUCACCCAUGCUAUGACGUAUCACUGGGCUGAGAGGAUGAUCAGUCAGGCUGGAACUGAGACACGGGCCGGACUCCUGCGGGAAGCAGCAGAAGGGAAUAUCGCGCAAUGGGUGAAACACUGAAGCCGCAACGCCGGGGGGAGGAUGACACUUUUCGGAGCGUAAAAUCCGUUUGAUAGGGAAGCGGUACCUGGCGAAUAAGCACCGGCUAACUCCGUGCCAGCAGCCGCGGUAAUUC
RNAcentral lists this ribosomal RNA (408 nucleotides) under uncultured bacterium. Its description in RNAcentral is "partial 16S ribosomal RNA". It matches the Rfam family "Bacterial small subunit ribosomal RNA", at positions 29 to 526 of the family's 1533-position model. The record is from RNAcentral.